CACGUAGUUAGCCGGUGCUUAUUCUACAGGUACCGUCAUCAGCUUAGGGUAUUAACCCGAGCUAUUUCUUCCCUGUCAAAAGUGCUUUACAACCCGAAGGCCUUCAUCACACACGCGGGAUGGCUGGAUCAGGGUUCCCCCCAUUGUCCAAAAUUCCCCACUGCUGCCUCCCGUAGGAGUCUGGGCCGUGUCUCAGUCCCAGUGUGGCUGGUCGUCCUCUCAAACCAGCUACGGAUCGUCGCCUUGGUAGGCCUUUACCCCACCAACUAGCUAAUCCGAUAUCGGCCGCUCCAAUAGUGAGAGGUCCCGAAGAACUCCCCCCCUUUCCCCGUAGGGCGUAUGCGGUAUUAGCCACUCUUUCGAGUAGUAUCCCCCGUACUGGGCACGUUCCGAUACAUUACUCACCCGUCCGCCACUCGCCGCCAAGAGAGCAAGCUCUCUCGCGCUGCCGUUCGACUUGCAUGUGUAAAGCAUCCCGCUAGCGUUCAAUCUGAGCCAGGAUCAAACUCU
RNAcentral lists this ribosomal RNA (510 nucleotides) under uncultured Alcaligenaceae bacterium. RNAcentral describes it as "partial 16S ribosomal RNA". The record is from RNAcentral. Lineage: Bacteria; Pseudomonadati; Pseudomonadota; Betaproteobacteria; Burkholderiales; Alcaligenaceae.